UCUCCCGUGAGGGAGCAGUCUCGCCUGACAUAUAAAACAGGCAACGGGGGUUGCGUUCGUUUCCCCACUUAAGGGAACAGCUCAAGCCACGAACUGACGACGACCAUGCAUCACCUGCCAUUCACCCUCGAAGGCUUCUCCGGUUUCCCGGAGCGUGCAGAAUGGUUUCAAAUCUUGGUAAGGUUCUUCGCUUACCGACGAAUUAAGCCACAUGAUCCACCGCUUGUGCGAGUUCCCGUCUAUUCCUUUGAGUUUUAACCUUGCGGUCGUACUACCCAGGCGGUUCUCUUAACGCGUUAGCUUCGCCACAAAGAGGGUCGAUACUCCUUAUAGCCAGAGAACAUAGUUUAGGGCGUGGACUAC
This 363-nucleotide unclassified non-coding RNA is filed under the name uncultured bacterium. RNAcentral's name for it is "contains 16S-23S intergenic spacer region". The record is from RNAcentral.